Non-coding RNA from Heterocephalus glaber (naked mole-rat), 4681 nucleotides. NCBI's taxonomy places the organism in Eukaryota, Metazoa, Chordata, Mammalia, Rodentia, Bathyergidae. The record is from RefSeq and is a predicted model, not a curated record.
CCUGGGACUUGUAGUCGCAGUCUUGGGCAACUGGUGAGUGUCCUGUGCCGGGAAGUCUCCUACUCUUGAAGAUAACAAAGAAGAAACCACUUUAAGUCCACACCAUGGAUACCACAAAGGAGAAGAAUGACAAUUACAAAGAUGAUCUUCUGCUUAGGAUGGGACUUAAUGAUAAUAAAGCAGGAAUGGGAGGAUUAGAUAAAGAGAAAAUUAAUAAAAUUAUAAUGGAAGCCACAAAGGUGCUAAUAAAUAAGAGUUUGCCUGAAAGGUCAGAGGAGACUUUGAACUUGGAUUUUUCACCAAUGCUGAAACUGGUAGGACUUUAGAAACUCUCAGAAAUAGACUAAAUGCCUAUUGCAUGAAGAGAUCUGCGUGAGUCUUUUAGGGACUAGGAGAGGAAUGCUAUGCUUUGGAUCUACAUGUCCCCCCAAAGCCUCAUGCACUCAUAUAUGAGGCUUUUCAGAGCUAGCUGAUCUAGGGUGUGUGAUACUGGGAUGAAGGGUGUGUGGUACUAAAUCAGUCCACUGAUUGGGUUAGCAUACUCAUGUAUAUGGAUAAAGGAAAAGCCCACCCUGGGUGUAGGUGGCACCACCCAAAAGAUGUGUAGCCUGGAUGGGAUAAAGGUGAAAGGGAGACUUGCUUCACUGAUUGCUGCAUCCUGCCUGCCUUGCUGUGAACUGUUUCUUCUCUGCCACGUCCCUGUGCCAUGCUGCCCUGUACUGGGGCCAGCUGACUCCAGUGAACUGAAACCUCUACAAACUGUGAAGUGAAAUAAACCUCUCCUCCUUUAUCUUGUGGAUGUUGAGUAUUUGGUCCCAGCAACAAGAAAAGAAACAAAGACACAUAAUUAGCAAAUAUUUUUUUUCCAUUAAGUUUGAAUAAGAUCACUCAAAAGAAGAAAGCUACUCUUCUAAACUGGAAGACUUGCAAUAUUUCUUGAAAAAGCAAGACUCCACUGCCACUAAAGGAAGCAUACAAAUCUGACAUGCUCCUAAUAUUUGGGCUAAAAGUGAAGUUUCAUUCUUUAGUCAAACAGGCAGCUCAAUGGUCAUUAACUCUUUUCUCAUUGUUUUCUGAUAAGUUUUUCUUCUUCAACCCAGCCAGUGAACCACAGCACCCCAAGGUAGUCGGAGAGCACAUAAUCCCCUGUAGGUAAGGUCUACAGCCCCUUCCAGCUGGAAGGAGCUAUGAAAGACAGACUUCCACUCCCUCAACACUCCAUAAAGAAUUAUGAGGAUUUGUGCCUUUCAGGGGAAAUGAGACAGGCAAUCAGGUUGUGACAAAGCUGGCUGGGGCAGCUGACAUGACCUGUUAACUACAGGAUCCUAGAACACACGCACAGAACAUUUUCCAAACCUCUGGAUGUGGACUUCUCAUGAGAAUGCAAGCAAGUUUUCAAUAGGAUGGCCUGGACCUGACAUCAGCCUGAGACGUGAGAUUCCAUCACCUCUCAGGCCUAUCUCUUAGAACUUGUAUACAGAAUUUCUUGUGGGUUUCUUUAGAUUGGGACAGCACAAAACAUCACAAACACCAAGGAGAGCUUCCUAUUAUGGCUUUCUUCACAAAAGCCCACCCUGUGUCCUUCAGAGUGUGCUUUUAUUUUGCUUUUCCUCUUUUACUUGACCCAAGCGUGCUCUGCAGAACCAGUAGGGUCCAAAGCCAGAGAAAGUCGUGGGAGAUGAAGAAUAAAAAGAAAGAUAAAUACCAAGAUUAAGCUUUAUAAUCUAGUGUGCUGUGAAUUUAUAGUGUAGGAAUGUGGGGCAAGUAAUGCCACAUGGCCCACGAGGCCUAGGCUGGAUGUGACUAUCUCAUGAUCGGGGCAUGCACAGAAAAGGAACAAGUAUACAUAAUGUAACUAUCUCCUGGGGCUGUGCCAUCCAGGAUCUACAAUCUUAGUGUCUGUUUGACUCUCUGAUCUAUGGAGGAGAAAGGGAGUAGGGAUUAGGUGAAAGUCCAUCUUUAGGCUCAGCCCAUGGCAGUUUUUUGCUCAUUUUGUUCAAUUCUUUGUCUGAAGUGAGAAGAACCUGGAAUCCAACUCCAGAAGGAUACUGGAGCAACUCAAAGCCAGUAAUCUUUGUUUGGCAAGCCAAUUUCUAGAAGGAGCUACCUGGUAACACAGUACUCUCACAGGCUGAGGCAAGAAGAUUGCAGAAUUGCCCAACCUGGGCAAAUUAGUGACUUAGUCGGACCCUGUGUCAAAUUAAAAAAUAAAAAGCACCAGGAAUGUAGCUUAGUAUGAAGGGCCUGGGUUCAACUACCAGUGUGGCCCACAUACCUGUGCACAUGCGCAUGUGCACACACACAGCAAACACUUGCUUUCCCACUCUAGAAAACUUUCUUCCAAUUGUACCCUCUUCCCUCAAAAAUAAUGACUAUUAUUUUUAUGAUUUCUUUUCAGUUUUAUCACCUAAGCAUGUAUCCUCACUACACACUACAGGUUUGGCUGUUUCUUUUUUCUUUGUACUGGAGACUGAACGCAGAACCUUGCACUUGUGAGGCAGGUGCCGGAACCACUGAGUUAAAUCCCCAGCCCUUCUUUUGGGUUGUUUUGAUAUGUCUUAGGUUGUAUUUUUAAUGCAAAGAACUUCAUAGUCCUUUUUUUCCACUUGGAAUUUGUUUAUUGAAGAAACCAAGUCUGGGUGUAGUAGCAUGCAUCUGUAAUCCCAGCACUUGAAGGAGUGACUUGAGGUUGAGGCCAGCCUGGGCUACAUAGUGAGUUCAAGGCCAACCUGAACUACAUAGCAAGACCCUGUCACAAAAGCAAAAAACAAAAGAGAAACUCAAUCAAUUAUCCUAGCAUUUCCUAUUACCUGAAUUUUAUUGAUUGCAUUCUGUGGAAUAAUUUAACAUUUUUUUCAGUCUUUUGUGCAUACUGUAAAUUGAUUACUAGAUCGUAUUCAGGUCAAAAAUCUGUCUCCUUUCAACAAGAGUACAACAACAAACAGAUGUAUCAAACCAAAAAAAGAUAUUUGCAAUGUCAAAGUAGGAGAGAAAUAAGAAUAAAACUAUAUCAUAUCUGGAAAUUCAUGUGACAAAAAUCCAUAAGAAAGUUUUAUAAACUCUGCUAAAAUAUAUAAAUGACUUGAAAAGCAGAUGCACAAUAUUCGUGGAGGUGACAGUUUGGCUGGGUAAGCUAAUGUGUGACUAAAAAUUCAUUCCAGUUUCUUUCAUGCUUUACCUCCAUGGGCUAUAAAUCUAGAAAGUUAAAUACUUAAUUUCCCAGAUCUAUUUGCAGUUAGGUUUCUAGAAGUGAAUUAUUUCUACCAAAAGGUACAUUUAAGGAAGAAAUGGAAGGUGAAUUUGAAGUUAAAAUAACAUGUUGCUUUAUUUAUUUGUUUCAGCUUUUGUUUUGUUUUUGCUGGCAAGCAUGCUCACAAAGAUGGCAUUAUUUACUGCAGCCCCCCAGUCAUUAGCUCUGUGGAUACUGAGUGUUGCUACUGUAUCCUGUUGAUUUCUGAAUUGUACCUACUGUUGUGUACUACUAACAUCAUUCAUUCCAGCUGUGAGGGCCUGAUUCUCUGUCCUCCUAAUGGGUAGCAGUGGUAGCAGCUCCUAAGACAGUCCAGUUCUGCAAUAGUCUCCUGGGACUCACUUAUGAGAUCCUUGUCCUAAGGACACUUCUCUAGCCCUUUCAGCACCUUUUAAAAAGUAUCAAUUCCUUAUAAAGUAUUGAAUCAUUAUAUAUUUCAAGUAGCAGAUCUAGUUCCUGUAACUGAACACUCACACAAUGAUUGGUAAAGAUAUAAAAGCUUCCCAAAUAUAUAUAAUCUUAAUAAAAAUUUUAAAUACUUGAACAAAACUCCAAAUGUACAUGCAAUUGAAAAAGGAAAGAAAGAAUUUAAAGUAAGUAUUUUGGCUCUUGCUGAAACCGACUCAAGUAGAACUCAGAGAUGAAAACAAUGCAUGGACUUUGAUUAGGUCAUUAAUUUAUAAACCAAGGAGGGCAAACUAGUUUCACCUUUCUUGCCUUCUCUAUUGAUAAAGGCCAUCUUGAGUGCUGAAUAAAUGAUUCUCAGGCUGUUCAAGCUCAGCAGUAAAGAGUGGGAGCGAAUUAUUGGCCCUGGCUGCAGACGCUGAAAGCACAUGGGAAAUGACAUUCUUCAGCUAAGCUUGCAAAAAAGCAAAAGAGGAUGUGAACACUUCAGGAAAAGUAUGAUGAGAGAAUAGACACUUAGAAGAACGCUUGGGCCUGAAUUGAAGAUACAGUUUUGACAUCUAAAAUGUGCAUCGCCUCUCCUCUUUAAUGGCAGAGAAUCCUUAAACCCAGGGAGAAUAUGAAUUAUGGUCAUAAGAAAUCAUGAUUAUGGCUGUACAGGAGAUAUUAAAGAUAAAGCAGCCCUUUUCAUUUUAUUGUAAAGAAAUAUCUGAUGGUGAUUUAUACAGAAAAAGAGUGGUAUUUAGCUUGUUCUUCAGGAAAUCAAAGAUGAACAUCCACUGCUGAUCUUCUUGCUGGGACAGCCCUGGGAUGGUGCAGAGUGUCACAUGAAAACAACCAGAAAGCACAACUGCAGGUGUGUCUUUUUGGUCUCCUCUCUCUUCUGUGGAGUCACCAGGAUUCCAACACAGGAGCUUUACUCUGAUGAGUUCAUCUAAUCCCAGAGGUCUCAUCUCUAAACUCCACAGUCAGAUUAAGUUUACAUCACCUUAAUGCCUCACGAUAUAUCUAAAUUUCCACACAUGA